RNAcentral lists this ribosomal RNA (1369 nucleotides) under uncultured bacterium. Its description in RNAcentral is "partial 16S ribosomal RNA". It matches the Rfam family "Bacterial small subunit ribosomal RNA", at positions 28 to 1382 of the family's 1533-position model. The record is from RNAcentral.
GACGAAAUCUGGCUGCGUGCUUAAUUCAUGAUAUUCGAACGGUAACGCUCCCGAUUGCUGGGGUACAAGAUUGGCAAACCGGUGAGUAACACGGGCGUGACCUGCCCUGUCCUUCCGGCAUCAACCUGGGAAAGUGGGUCUAAUACCCGAUAGGACCGCGCCUUGAGCGCGCUGGUGAUGUAAAGUUUUUGUCUGAGUGGAAUGGGUCCCCGCGCCUCACUCACGCAUUGUUAGCGCGGGUAAUCGUCCUAUCAGUCGCCCGCCACAGUGAUCCCGCCUGAAAAGGUGGACUGCCCUCUUGGCACUGAUACACCGCCCAUACUCCUACAGGAGGUGACAACGACCAAUAUUGCACUGUGCGCCGAACCCUGAUGCAACCUACCCUCCCCUGCGGGAUUACGGCGCUUCGUCGUUGUACAACUCCUUGUCCCUCCCACUAAAGCUUUCUGAUCCGCAUAUGGAGAACGAAUCGCCCGGUAACUACUUGCUCUCCUUUCAGUUUUAUACUUGCGGUGCUACUCCUCUCUCCGGAAUUACUGGGCGUAUUAGACCUCGGAGGUGGUUUGUCGCGUCGUCUGUGAAAUUCCGGGGCUUAUUUCCGGGCGUGCAGGCGAUACGGGCAUAACUUGAGUACUGUAGGGGAGACUGGAAUUCCUGGUGUAGCGGUGAAAUGCGCAGAUAUCAGGAGGAACACCGGUGGCGAAGGCGGGUCUCUGGGCAGUAACUGACGCUGAGGAGCGAAAGCAUGGGGAGCGAACAGGAUUAGAUACCCUGGUAGUCCAUGCCGUAAGCGGUGGGCGCUAGGUGUGGGUUUCCUUCCACGACAUCCGUGCCGUAGCUAACGCAUUAAGCGCCCCGCCUGGGGAGUACGGCCGCAAGGCUAAAACUCAAAGGAAUUGACGGGGGCCCGCACAAGCGGCGGAGCAUGUGGAUUAAUUCGAUGCAACGCGAAGAACCUUACCUGGGCUUGACAUAUACCAGAUCGUCGCCAGAGAUGGUGUUUCCCAUGCGGGUUGUAUACAGGUGGUGCAUGGUCGUCGUCAGCUCGUGUCGUGAGAGUUUGGGCUAAGUCUCGCAACGAGCGCAACCGUCCUCCUAUGCAGCCAGCAUGUCGUGUGUGGGGCCUCGUAAGAACCUUCCGGGGUUAACUAGGAGGAAGGUGGGGAGGUCGUCAAAUCAUCAUGCACCUUAUGUACAGGGACUCACACAAGGUAUAAUGUUCGGUACAGUGGGCAGUCAGUCAGUGAGGUCGAGAUAAUCAGGCAAAAUCGGUCUCAGUUUGGAUAGGGGUUUGCCACUCGACUCCGUGAAGUGGGAGUCGUUAGUAAUCGCAGAUCAGCAACGAUGCGGUGAAUAAGUUUUCGUCCUA